UGACACGCGGUGACACACGAUGACGCGCAAUGACACGCAAUAACACGUGAUGACACGCGGUGACACGCGAUGACACACGAUGACAUGUGAUGACACGCAAUAACACGUGAUGACACGCGUGUGCUGCCGCGUGGCCUCGCAGGUGAGAUCAAGAACGGCCGCGUGUCGGGCUGCCACUCGUGGGUGCAGCUGCUGCAGCUGGAGCGCAGCGGGAGCCUGGAUUACCUGAGCUACAGCUACAGUGGGCCGGUGAGCGCGGGGGGGUCACUGCGAUGUUGUGUGGUUGUUGUGUUGUGUGGUUGUGUGGUUGUGUGGUUGUGUGGUUGUGUCACUGCGAUGUGAUGUGGUUGUGUUGUUGUGUUGUUGUGUCACUGCGAUGUGGUGUGGUUGUGUGGUUGUGUGGUUGUGUUGUUGUGUCACUGCGACAUGGUGUGGUUGUGUGGUUGUGUGGUUGUGUGGUUGUGUUGUUGUGUGGUUGUGUGGUUGUGUCACUGCGAUGUGGUGUGGUUGUGUUGUUGUAUCGUUGUGUGGUUGUGUCGUUGUGUUGUGUUGUGUGGUUGUGUGGUUGUGUUGUUGUGUCACUGCGAUGUGUGGUUGUGUCAUUGUGUGGUUGUGUUGUUGUGUUGUGUGGUUGUGUCGUGUCACUGCGAUGUG
Molecule: long non-coding RNA, 654 nt
Filed under: Chrysolophus pictus (golden pheasant)
Lineage: Eukaryota; Metazoa; Chordata; Aves; Galliformes; Phasianidae
Description: lncRNA (ENSCPIG00010008640.1)
Source: RNAcentral